RNAcentral lists this ribosomal RNA (926 nucleotides) under uncultured Bacteroidota bacterium. RNAcentral's name for it is "bacterial SSU rRNA". It matches the Rfam family "Bacterial small subunit ribosomal RNA", at positions 1 to 917 of the family's 1533-position model. Lineage: Bacteria; Pseudomonadati; Bacteroidota. The record is from RNAcentral.
UGGAUCCAGACUUUGAUCCUGGCUCAGGAUGAACGCUAGCGACAGGCCUAACACAUGCAAGUCGAGGGGCAGCGGAGAGGUAGCAAUACCUUUGCCGGCGACCGGCGCACGGGUGAGUAACACGUAUGCAAUCCACCUGUAACAGGGGGAUAACCCGGAGAAAUCCGGACUAAUACCCCAUAAUAUGGGCGCUCCGCAUGGAGAGCCCAUUAAAGAGAGCAAUUUUGGUUACAGGCGAGCAUGCGCUCCAUUAGCCAGUUGGCGGGGUAACGGCCCACCAAAGCGACGAUGGAUAGGGGUUCUGAGAGGAAGGUCCCCCACAUUGGAACUGAGACACGGUCCAAACUCCUACGGGAGGCAGCAGUGAGGAAUAUUGGUCAAUGGUCGGCAGACUGAACCAGCCAAGUCGCGUGAGGGAAGACGGCCCUACGGGUUGUAAACCUCUUUUGUCGGAGAGUAAAGUACGCUACGUGUAGCGUAUUGCAAGUAUCCGAAGAAAAAGCAUCGGCUAACUCCGUGCCAGCAGCCGCGGUAAUACGGAGGAUGCGAGCGUUAUCCGGAUUUAUUGGGUUUAAAGGGUGCGUAGGCGGCACGCCAAGUCAGCGGUGAAAUUUCCGGGCUCAACCCGGAGUGUGCCGUUGAAACUGGCGAGCUAGAGUACACAAGAGGCAGGCGGAAUGCGUGGUGUAGCGGUGAAAUGCAUAGAUAUCACGCAGAACCCCGAUUGCGAAGGCAGCCUGCUAGGGUGAAACAGACGCUGAGGCACGAAAGCGUGGGUAUCGAACAGGAUUAGAUACCCUGGUAGUCCACGCAGUAAACGAUGAAUACUAACUGUUUGCGAUACAAUGUAAGCGGUACAGCGAAAGCGUUAAGUAUUCCACCUGGGGAGUACGCCGGCAACGGUGCAACUCAAAUGAAUUGACGGA